Non-coding RNA from Equus caballus (horse), 1723 nucleotides. NCBI's taxonomy places the organism in Eukaryota, Metazoa, Chordata, Mammalia, Perissodactyla, Equidae. The record is from RefSeq and is a predicted model, not a curated record.
GGAUGGAUGAACCUCAGUCAUGGACGCCUGAAUGGAGAAGCUCAGGGGGAGGGGCACGGGGCUAGCCACAGGAAGUGGAGUGGUUUUUCCUAGAACCCACCUUUCCUAAGGCAGACACGCCAACGAUGUGGCAAAUGACAAGACUAGGACAGGAUGAGUGCCAAGGGUUCAGGUGGGCCUCUAGCCUACUCUGGGGAUUCAGAGAAGACGUCCUGUGGGAGCUGGCACCUUUGAGUGUUGAGGUGGAUAAGAGUGAGCCAGGAGAGGAAGGUCGGAAGGGCAGUCCAAGAUGAGAGGAUGAGCAAGAGCAGAUGCACAGAGGCAUGAGACAGCACAGGCGGCGCAGGGAACUUCAGUCCUUACUAGAUUUCCAAGCGCAAAUCAGAGGGUGGUGGGAGCGGCUGCCAGAGAGGUUAACUAGGGCCAAGUUCCAGAAGGCCUGGCGUGCUGUGCUAAGGGGCCUCCCUUUCUUCUCCAGGGAAGGGCGGGCCUUGGGAGUUUGAAGGCAGGAGUGUGACUUGGUCAGAUUUUCAUUUAUACAGACCACUGUGGUGAAGAGAUCUAAGGCAGCAGUCUGCAAACCCUGAGCAAUAAUAUCAGCUGGGGAGCUUUUACAAGUCCUGAACCCUGGUGCUACCCCAGACUAGGUCAGAAUUUCUGGGGAUGAGACUCAGGCACUGAUGUUUCUGUUUUUUGUGUGUUUUUUUUUUAAGUAAACUUUUUAUGGAAACUGAUGUACAUAGAGAAACAAGUACAAAUCAUAAGUGAACAGCCGGUGGAUUGUGAUAACGUGAGCAUACCCCUGUAACAACAUCCAGACUGAGGAAUAGAAUAUUACAGCACUCAGAAGCCCCCGGCUACCCUCUUCCCGUACAAUCCACUCCCCAACUUGACUAUUUAUUAAUUUGCUUAGUUUUGAAAUUUAUGUGUAACUUCAUGUUGUUGAAGUUUGUUUAUUCUCAUUGCUGUAAGGUACUUCAUUGUAAGAAUGUGCCACAGUUUAUUUAUCCAUUCUACUCUUGGUGGACAUUCGGUGACUUUCCUGUUUGGGGAUUAUGAAUAGUCUGCUAUGAGAAUUGUUGUAUGUAUCUUUUAGUGACCAGUGUGUACCUUUCCGUUGGGGAUAUAUCAAGGAGCGGAAUUCCUGGGUCACAGGGAAUACAUGUGUUCAGCUUUGGUGGCUAUGCCAGAGUUUUUCAAAGUGAUUGUAGGCACUAAUUGUUUUUGAAAGUCCUUAGAUGAUUCUACGACACAGCCAGAGUUGAGAAUUGCUAUUCUAAUGGCUGUCAACCUGGGGAGAGGGACACCAAUCAGGAUAAUGUUGUCACCCAGCACCUGUUAUGCAAAUGUUAGCUGAGAGUGGGAUUUUGACAGGAGGGAGCAAGCAAGCAGUGGAGGAAUAGUUAUCAGAAGAAGGAAGGAAGAAUUUUAUAAGAAGACAAAAGAAGAAAAAGGAAGAAAAAAAAAUUCCCUAAUGCUGCCGGUGUGUCUGGCUUUGGUUUUGCAAGUGUCUGGAGGAGGAGGCGUAAUCUGUUUGCGGAGGAGGGGCAGAAGAUGAAACGGUUUAAAGUGCGUCUGUUGCCGCGGGGUGAGAUUCCAGUAAGACGAUGAUCCCAAAAUUUGGCAUGAUGCAACAGCUUUAUAUCUGAGAUGGUUCUGGAUGAAAACACUGGACUACAUAAUUAUUUCCCCAAAUUAAAUAGCAUAGGAUAAGACUCUCUUA